RNAcentral lists this ribosomal RNA (425 nucleotides) under uncultured bacterium. RNAcentral describes it as "partial 16S ribosomal RNA". It matches the Rfam family "Bacterial small subunit ribosomal RNA", at positions 354 to 796 of the family's 1533-position model. The record is from RNAcentral.
GUGGGGAAUAUUGGACAAUGGGCGCAAGCCUGAUCCAGCCAUGCCGCGUGAGUGAUGAAGGCCUUAGGGUUGUAAAGCUCUUUUGUCCGGGAAGAUAAUGACUGUACCGGAAGAAUAAGCCCCGGCUAACUUCGUGCCAGCAGCCGCGGUAAUACGAAGGGGGCUAGCGUUGUUCGGAAUCACUGGGCGUAAAGCGCACGUAGGCGGACCAUUAAGUCAGGGGUGAAAGCCUGGAGCUCAACUCCAGAACUGCCUUUGAUACUGAUGGUCUCGAGUUCGGAAGAGGUUGGUGGAACUGCGAGUGUAGAGGUGAAAUUCGUAGAUAUUCGGAAGAACACCAGUGGCGAAGGCGACUCACUGGCCCGUUACUGACGCUGAGGCGCGAAAGCGUGGGGAGCAAACAGGAUUAGAUACCCUGGUAGUCC